AAGCACUUCCAUGUAUUCUCUUUUAAUUUCAUAUAGUUGAAAGAUAAAAUAGAAGUGCUAUAGUAAAUAGAAAGAUAAUUAGCAAAGCAAGCUGUGUGUACUUGACUUUGUCAGUCCCUUUCUGACAAUA
Molecule: small nucleolar RNA, 130 nt
Filed under: Mytilus galloprovincialis (Mediterranean mussel)
Lineage: Eukaryota; Metazoa; Mollusca; Bivalvia; Mytilida; Mytilidae
Source: RNAcentral